GGGAAUGUAGCACAGUGGUAGAGUGCUUACCUAGAAUGCAUGAGGUCCUAGGUUCAAUUCCCAGCACCA
This 69-nucleotide transfer RNA is filed under the name Cricetulus griseus (Chinese hamster). It matches the Rfam family "tRNA". Rfam says of the family: Transfer RNA (tRNA) molecules are approximately 80 nucleotides in length. Their secondary structure includes four short double-helical elements and three loops (D, anti-codon, and T loops). The record is from Rfam by way of RNAcentral. Lineage: Eukaryota; Metazoa; Chordata; Mammalia; Rodentia; Cricetidae.